UGGGGAAUAUUGGACAAUGGGCGCAAGCCUGAUCCAGCCAUGCCGCGUGAGUGAUGAAGGCCCUAGUGUUGUAAAGCUCUUUCACCGGUGAAGAUAAUGACGGUAACCGGAGAAGAAGCCCCGGCUAACUUCGUGCCAGCAGCCGCGGUAAUACGAAGGGGGCUAGCGUUGUUCGGAUUUACUGGGCGUAAAGCGCACGUAGGCGGACUUUUAAGUCAGGGGUGAAAUCCCGGGGCUCAACCCCGGAACUGCCUUUGAUACUGGAAGUCUUGAGUAUGGUAGAGGUGAGUGGAAUUCCGAGUGUAGAGGUGAAAUUCGUAGAUAUUCGGAGGAACACCAGUGGCGAAGGCGGCUCACUGGACCAUUACUGACGCUGAGGUGCGAAAGCGUGGGGAGCAAACAGG
RNAcentral lists this ribosomal RNA (404 nucleotides) under Actinomycetes bacterium. RNAcentral's name for it is "Actinobacteria bacterium partial 16S ribosomal RNA". It matches the Rfam family "Bacterial small subunit ribosomal RNA", at positions 355 to 776 of the family's 1533-position model. The record is from RNAcentral. Lineage: Bacteria; Bacillati; Actinomycetota; Actinomycetes.